Molecule: ribosomal RNA, 347 nt
Filed under: uncultured bacterium
Lineage: Bacteria
Description: bacterial SSU rRNA
Rfam family: Bacterial small subunit ribosomal RNA
Source: RNAcentral
GGGCCCGCACAAGCGGUGGAGCAUGUGGUUUAAUUCGAUGAUACGCGAGGAACCUUACCAGGGCUUAAAUGUAAGUUGCAUAAGCUAGAGAUAGCUUUUUCUUCGGACUACUUACAAGGUGCUGCAUGGUUGUCGUCAGCUCGUGCCGUGAGGUGUCAGGUUAAGUCCUAUAACGAGCGCAACCCCUGUUGUUAGUUGCCAUCGAGUAAUGUCGGGAACUCUAACAAGACUGCCGGUGCAAACCGUGAGGAAGGUGGGGAUGACGUCAAAUCAUCACGGCCCUUACGUCCUGGCUACACACGUGCUACAAUGGCCGGUACAGAGAGCAGCCACUACGCGAGUAGGAG